GACGAACGCUGGCGGCGCGCUUAACACAUGCAAGUCGAACGGAAAGGCCUGCUUUCCCUUGUGGAUUGCGGGUACUCGAGUGGCGAACGGGUGAGUAACACGUGAGUGAUCUGCCCCCAACUUGGGUAUAAGCCUGGGAAACUGGGUCUAAUUCCCGAUAGGACUGCAGGGUGGUGCCUGUGGUGGAAAACGAUUUUCUAGUGGUUGGGGAUGAGCUCGCGGCCUAUCAGCUUGUUGGUGGGGUAAUGGCCUACCAAGGCGGCGACGGGUAGCCGGCCUGGGAGGGUGGACGGCCACAGUGGGACUGAGAUACGGCCCAGACUCCUACGGGAGGCAGCAGUGGGGAAUAUUGCACGAUGGGCGGAAGCCUGAUGCAGCGACGCCGCGGGGGGGAUGACGGCCUUCGGGUUGUAAACUCCUUUCGACCGCGAGGAAGCCACCUGGUUGGAAGGGUGGUGACGGUAGUGGUAGAAGAAGCACCGGCUAACUACGUG
This 494-nucleotide ribosomal RNA is filed under the name uncultured bacterium. RNAcentral describes it as "partial 16S ribosomal RNA". It matches the Rfam family "Bacterial small subunit ribosomal RNA", at positions 28 to 507 of the family's 1533-position model. The record is from RNAcentral.